Long non-coding RNA from Xiphias gladius (swordfish), 793 nucleotides. RefSeq lists it as uncharacterized. The transcript is spliced from 4 exons. NCBI's taxonomy places the organism in Eukaryota, Metazoa, Chordata, Actinopteri, Istiophoriformes, Xiphiidae. The record is from RefSeq and is a predicted model, not a curated record.
GGAUUAGGGGUUAGGGAGGGUUAGGGUUUAGUGGUAGGAAUAGGAAACUAAAACAGUGGCUCUCCCCAUGCAGUUCAACAACUACAUGGUUUGGAGUGGAGAGCCAAAGGCAAGGCACGGGCCGGUGCAUGUCACUUUGGGUUCCGCAUACUGUGUACAGCCCCAAAGGAGAGGUGAGGAGAGGAAAGGACACAUCACUAGUAGUGGACCCAAGGAUCAUGGAGUGUUUUGGCCAUUAUCACAAAACACCCUCACCUGAGGAAGGCCCUGCCGAGGUUGAUCAAGCCCUGGAGUGUGUCCCAUAUCCAACUGGAGUCUUGUUGCUGAGAGCUAAAGUUGGACUUCCUGUGUCACAGGAAGUAGGAAGUGGGUAGAUGGCCAGCAGUGUUGACCGCAUGCGCCACCACUCGAGCCGAUCCCCGUAUGCGUGCUAGCGCCCUCGGCCACGCAGACCUCCGGGUGCGUGCCAGCGCCCUCGUCCGAGCCGAUCCCCAACUGUGUACCAGCGCCUUCGGCCGAGCUGACCUCUGGGUCUGUGCCAGCGCCACCUGAUGAGCUGUCCCCCAACUAAGAAUAAUAGUGUUCCAUUAAUGUAUUUCCAAAUAAAGUCCUUCAAUUUUGUUAAUUAUAUUGUUAUAACAGCUGUGUACAGAUGUUUUUAUUUUAUGUUUUCUUUAUCGUAUUUUUUAAACGAUUAUAGAUGUAUAUAGAUCAAACGUAACAUUUAUAUAUUACCAACUACAGAGUGAAAAUUAUUUAAUCAUGAAAUGAAAUAUAUUGUAAAAUAUAAUGU